GGGAAUAACGGCUGGAAACGGUCGCUAAUACCGCAUAACGUACGGAUGGGACAUCCUGUCUGUACCAAAGAUUUAUCGCUCGAAAGAUGGGCUCGCGUCCGAUUAGGUAGUUGGUGAGGUAACGGCCCACCAAGCCGACGAUCGGUAGCCGGACUGAGAGGUUGAACGGCCACAUUGGGACUGAGACACGGCCCAGACUCCUACGGGAGGCAGCAGUGGGGGAUAUUGCACAAUGGGGGAAACCCUGAUGCAGCGACGCCGCGUGUGGGAAGACGGUCUUCUGGAUUGUAAACCACUGUCCCCAGGGACGAAAAUGACGGUACCUGGGGAGGAAGCUCCCGCUAACUACGUGCCAGCAGCCGCGGUAAUACGUAGGGAGCAAGCGUUGUCCGGAAUUACUGGGUGUAAAGGGAGCGUAGGCGGGGAUGCAAGUUGGGUGUCAAAACUACCGGCUCAACCGAUAGUCGCACUCAAAACUGCAACUCUUGAGUGAAGUAGAGGCAGGCGGAAUUCCUAGUGUAGCGGUGAAAUGCGUAGAUAUUAGGAGGAACACCAGUGGCGAAGGCGGCCUGCUGGGCUUUAACUGACGCUGAGGCUCGAAAGUGUGGGGAGCAAACAGGAUUAGAUACCCUGGUAGUCCACACCGUAAACGAUGA
Molecule: ribosomal RNA, 656 nt
Filed under: uncultured bacterium
Lineage: Bacteria
Description: bacterial SSU rRNA
Rfam family: Bacterial small subunit ribosomal RNA
Source: RNAcentral